This 30-nucleotide non-coding RNA is filed under the name Mus musculus (house mouse). Lineage: Eukaryota; Metazoa; Chordata; Mammalia; Rodentia; Muridae. The record is from RNAcentral.
GGGGAGUCUAGGACGAUCCUAAUCUUGGGU